CCGUGCAAAGGUAGCGUAAUCACUUGUCCUCUAAAUAGGGACCAGCAUGAAUGGCAACAUGAGAAAGGACCUGUCUCUUUGAGCUGGUCGGUGAAUCUGAUCUGCCUGUACAAAAGCAGGCAUAAAAAAACAAGACAAAAAGACCCUGUGAAACUUUAAAUGCCUCCCAACCAAAUGGGAAAGCAUUUUUCGGUUGGGGCAACCAAAGAGAAACAAACCUCACACUUUUGCAAGGCAAACAAGCCUAACAAACUAAAAAGAUCCAGUCUGACUGAUCAAAGAACAAAGCUACUCCAGGGAUAACAGCGCCACAUUCUUAAAGAGUCCUUAUCAACAAGAAUACCUACGACCUCGAUGUUGGAUCAGGGUAUCCCAAUGGCGCAAAAGCUAUUAAAGGUUCGUUUGUUCAACGAUUAAAACCCUACGUGAUCUGAGUUCAGAC
Molecule: ribosomal RNA, 442 nt
Filed under: Draco walkeri
Lineage: Eukaryota; Metazoa; Chordata; Lepidosauria; Squamata; Agamidae
Description: partial large subunit ribosomal RNA
Rfam family: Bacterial large subunit ribosomal RNA
Source: RNAcentral